This 253-nucleotide ribosomal RNA is filed under the name uncultured bacterium. Its description in RNAcentral is "partial 16S ribosomal RNA". It matches the Rfam family "Bacterial small subunit ribosomal RNA", at positions 524 to 776 of the family's 1533-position model. The record is from RNAcentral.
UACGAAGGGGGCGAGCGUUGUUCGGAAUCACUGGGCGUAAAGGGCGCGUAGGCGGCCCUUCUUGUCGCGUGUGAAAGCCCCGGGCUCAACUUGGGAACGGCGCGCGAGACGGGAGGGCUGGAGUUCGGGAGAGGAGCGUGGAAUUCCCAGUGUAGAGGUGAAAUUCGUAGAUAUUGGGAAGAACACCGGUGGCGAAGGCGGCGCUCUGGACCGAGACUGACGCUGAGGCGCGAAAGCGUGGGGAGCAAACAGG